This 497-nucleotide ribosomal RNA is filed under the name uncultured bacterium. Its description in RNAcentral is "bacterial SSU rRNA". It matches the Rfam family "Bacterial small subunit ribosomal RNA", at positions 213 to 701 of the family's 1533-position model. The record is from RNAcentral.
UCACGUUAUACGAGCGGCCGAUGUCGGAUUAGCUAGUUGGUGGGGUAAAGGCCUACCAAGGCGACGAUCCGUAGCGGGUCUGAGAGGAUGAUCCGCCACACUGGGACUGAGACACGGCCCAGACUCCUACGGGAGGCAGCAGUGGGGAAUUUUGGACAAUGGGCGCAAGCCUGAUCCAGCCAUGCCGCGUGAGUGAAGAAGGCCUUCGGGUUGUAAAGCUCUUUCAGGUGGAAAGAAAUCGCACUUUUUAACACAAGGUGUGGGAUGACGGUACCAUCAGAAGAAGCACCGGCUAACUACGUGCCAGCAGCCGCGGUAAUACGUAGGGUGCGAGCGUUAAUCGGAAUUACUGGGCGUAAAGCGUGCGCAGGCGGUUAUGUAAGACAGAUGUGAAAUCCCCGGGCUCAACCUGGGAACUGCGUUUGUGACUGCAUAACUAGAGUACGGCAGAGGGAGGUGGAAUUCCGCGUGUAGCAGUGAAAUGCGUAGAGAUGCGG